UGUGGGAGGGGGCUUGCUCCCGAUUGCUGAGUGUCAGUCACUGCAUCUGUUACUGACCCACUGCUAUCGGGGGCAAGCCCCCUCCCACA
Molecule: unclassified non-coding RNA, 89 nt
Filed under: Pseudomonas synxantha
Lineage: Bacteria; Pseudomonadati; Pseudomonadota; Gammaproteobacteria; Pseudomonadales; Pseudomonadaceae
Source: RNAcentral